RNAcentral lists this ribosomal RNA (540 nucleotides) under Bifidobacterium breve. RNAcentral's name for it is "bacterial SSU rRNA". It matches the Rfam family "Bacterial small subunit ribosomal RNA", at positions 160 to 710 of the family's 1533-position model. Lineage: Bacteria; Bacillati; Actinomycetota; Actinomycetes; Bifidobacteriales; Bifidobacteriaceae. The record is from RNAcentral.
GUGGUAAUGCCGGAUGCUCCAGUUGAUCGCAUGGUCUUCUGGGAAAGCCUUUGCGGCAUGGGAUGGGGUCGCGUCCUAUCAGCUUGAUGGCGGGGUAACGGCCCACCAUGGCUUCGACGGGUAGCCGGCCUGAGAGGGCGACCGGCCACAUUGGGACUGAGAUACGGCCCAGACUCCUACGGGAGGCAGCAGUGGGGAAUAUUGCACAAUGGGCGCAAGCCUGAUGCAGCGACGCCGCGUGAGGGAUGGAGGCCUUCGGGUUGUAAACCUCUUUUGUUAGGGAGCAAGGCAUUUUGUGUUGAGUGUACCUUUCGAAUAAGCACCGGCUAACUACGUGCCAGCAGCCGCGGUAAUACGUAGGGUGCAAGCGUUAUCCGGAAUUAUUGGGCGUAAAGGGCUCGUAGGCGGUUCGUCGCGUCCGGUGUGAAAGUCCAUCGCUUAACGGUGGAUCCGCGCCGGGUACGGGCGGGCUUGAGUGCGGUAGGGGAGACUGGAAUUCCCGGUGUAACGGUGGAAUGUGUAGAUAUCGGAAAAAAAACA